AGAAUCUCUUUGUCAUGUAAAGGAAAUCUUCUUAUUUCUUGUUUGGUAAGAAUUUUUAUCAUAAUGUGCUGAACCUGCAAUUUCUCCAAAUGUGGGAAACUCGACAUAAUUUGUGGUAGUGGGAGACUGCAUUGGCGCUUUCCCCUG
This 147-nucleotide small nuclear RNA is filed under the name Aotus nancymaae (Ma's night monkey). Its description in RNAcentral is "U1 spliceosomal RNA (ENSANAG00000010904.1)". Lineage: Eukaryota; Metazoa; Chordata; Mammalia; Primates; Aotidae. The record is from RNAcentral.